Molecule: long non-coding RNA, 1719 nt
Organism: Procambarus clarkii (red swamp crayfish)
Lineage: Eukaryota; Metazoa; Arthropoda; Malacostraca; Decapoda; Cambaridae
Source: RefSeq, a predicted model, not a curated record
ACGGAACGUUAUUUUGACCCUAGUACUCGCGUAGUAGAGGUGUACAAGUUAGUGUUAGGGCGUGUUGUUACUCUGAGCUGGUACCCCGUUACCCUUUGGGGUCGCUAGGGCUGACAUACCCCUAGCUUACACUCACUUCUGUACACCGUCAAAAAGCGAAUACAUAGGGUCAAAAAUAUAUAUUUAUUACAAGUGCCUUAUCCUCUUGUGGGAUAUAUAUACACGGUGAUAUUAUUUUAUUAAUGUAUUCAUUGUUUUCAGCGGUAUUGUUAGUCAACGAGGUAAUGGAGUGACGAUGACGCAUCGCGUGAAAAGACCCGAUUGGCGAGGUAGGAAUCUGUGGUGGAGCGAUGAUUCAAGUCAGACCGUGGCGAGCAGAAGCUGGUGGCAGAUGUCCUGGUUGAGGUAAUACCGGGACAGAUUGGCAGGAUGUGUGGAAGAACACAGCGAUACGCGUCACUGCCAAGUAUUCACCAAUAGUGACGUUAAGUGUGAGAGGCUUGAGUACCUUUGACGUUGAUAACAUCGUGGUUAGGUACUUUAUGGACAGACCUGGAAGUGUUGAAUGAAGUUGACCUCUUGCAUACAAGAAUUGCGAGAUGAUGGUAAUGGAGAAGGUUGAUUGGUAGAGGGAAUCGGAGCCAGCGGACUUUGACGUACAACGGAACCAGAGGGUGAAGUGCAAGAAAAAUUAAGUGUUGAAGAGAGGGAUGACGCGACCCACACCGUGAAUAACUGAAAGGAGUUAAGAUUGGCAGAUACGAAGACUGGACAAUAAAGAGAAGGGGGUUCGUGAAUCAAUAAGUGUUACAAUCGCAUUUGCUACCUGGAAGUGGAAAGUGUUGAGUGUUGCAUUUAAAGACGAGUUCAUAAUAUACUCGUAUUGAGGGGGAAGAAUGUGUGUUUUGUGGCCUUAAGUCGUGAAACAGUGUUGGCAAGAGAUAGACGGGCCAAAAUGUGUGGAUGGUGAAAGGGAUGCGUGAAGUUUUGGAAAAGGUGUGAAAUGAAGGUUAUGGAAGGUGUAGAGUAAAUGUUAGUUACUAGGUCGUUUUGUAAAAGACCUCGUUUGCUCGUGUCUAAAAUUAAAGUAAUCGGUGGGUGGUUAUAUAAUAUAAUAAGAAUUUAUUGGUGUUGUCGAAUGGAUUUGUGGUGUUGUAAGGACGUCAUUAUGAAAGAUGUAGUGACAAUCAUGUUAGGAGUAAUGCAUAAAUAGUAGUGUGUACAGGUGAGGCAGUUUUGUGUGGGACAAUAGUAAAAGGCGUACUCCAAAACUGUAAGUGCGCAAUAAGUGCAAAUAUGGUAUAUAUAUGACAAUGGAUUGUAGUUAUUUGCAGUUAUUAAAUCGUACUUUGGAAUGUUGUUAAGUGAGUUGACCAGAAAAGGGGGAAAAAAGGGACUUAAGGUAACAGUGUAUGUUUAUUGAAGAAUAGGAUGGUAUUGGUUUGUAAUAUGUACUAAAACCUUGCAGGGGAUGAGUCACAACGUGGCUAAAGUAUGAUGACCAGACCACACACUAGAAUGUGAAUGGACGACGACGACGUUUCUGUCCGUCCUGGACCAAUCUCAAGUCGAUUGAGAAUGGUCCAGGACGGACCGAAACGUCGUCGUCCCUUCACCUUGUAGUGUUCUGGUCAUCAUACUUAACCUAUACCUAUAAUGUUAGUUAAUAAAAACCAAACAUUUUUAAAUGUAUUCAUGUUAUGUGAAAAAAGAAAAUAA